AGUGGUUCAUCAUACAUAAAAGAAAAAACAAAUUUAAUCUGUAAGAGUACAUUAUCUUUAAUUUUCUUAAGUCAAAAACAGUUUACAUAUUAGCAUCAGUGUAAACAUCCUCUCUGACGUCACAAUGUUAAGACUUCUGUUGCCUUGGUCCCAUCUCAUUCUGACCCUGGGCUCAUUGGCCCUUAUAAUUUAAUCUGAACAAUGGAACCGGAGACAUCAGCAGUGUCCAGGCUCUCUGAUGAUCUUCAUCCUUCGCCAGUGGCAAUUCAUGAAUUAAAUACAGAGUUUUCUGAGGAAAGUACAAUAUACUCAGACCUCAAAGUUCAUUGUUCUUCAAAUACCCAGAAUGGAAAAAUAACUAAAACUUCGAAAACAAAAGUGUCUCCGUGGUGCAUUGCUGCUGUGAUAUUUGCCUUCCUUUAUAUAAUCACUCUGGUAAUAGUUGCAGCUAUGGUAGCUAAGAUUCAUUGUCUUGAGGAGAGCCUGCAAAAGGCAGCCAUUGAGACUGCACAUUGCAAUAUAAUAUCACAAAACAAAGGUUGACAGCCUAAUGCACCAGGAUAGAAAUAAAGACAGAGAUCAGGACAGAAGUUGAAUUCCUAGGAAAUCUGAGCAUGACAGACAAGAUAUGUACAAUAAGUGAUCCUACCAGUUGGUCUUCGAGAAAACAAAAGGACUACUAUACUCCUCACUUUGUUAGAACUGAAAACCAUAAAGCUAGAGUGAUGGCAGCUCCUGUGAACUCCAAUGAAACCACAAAGGAAAUCAUUGGGUCAAGAAAUGCAUUACGAGCCACCGUGAGGCACGACCACCCUUCUGCUUUGCAGAGUUCAGAGUAAGAGUCCCUUCCUGUGUGAAAGGCGCUGACUGCUACAGCCUCCAGGACACCUUCUUACUGCAUAUGUGUGAUAAAUGUGAGAUUCAUUAUUUUGUUCUUUGUAGAAAAUUAAGUAUGAAAUAAUGUCUUACUUUUUUGUCAAGUCUUUUCAAGGUUGCUUCUCAAUAAAUUCUUUUUUAAAAAAUUGACGAUUUCCCCAAGAGUUUCUCCACUGGUUGCAAACCACAUCUUUAAUUUUCUUGGAAACAUUUUGAUAUUAUGAUUAAGGACACUAGUUUGAUACCAGAUAAGGCAAGAUAUUAGUUUGAGUUGUGUCACUUAUUAUAUUUAUAACUUUGGUCCAGUUGAAUUCCCUAAUCUACUUUUUCCACAUCUGUAAAAUGAAGGGGAUAAAAGUAUCCUCAUCACAAGGUUUUUCUAGGGAUUGAAUGAGAAAACAUUGUUAACUGUUGUUAUUGUUUCUUGUGUCUUCUUUGUUUGCAAUUCAAUAGUCUUUCUCCUUUGGUGCAGUUUUACGAUUUCUUUUUCUUUCAUGAAAUACCUUAUUUAUAAAAUCCUCAUAAUGUGGCAGAAUCAAGGACCGCCUCAGCUGUUUAUUAUAAGGGAUGUUAGGAACUCCCCUGUGCCCUCUUAAGCCUAAUUUAGACUCUCCCCCACUGGUUGGCUGAUGCCAAUGACUCCAUACUUGGAAAUACAUUUACAUUGUUUAUGGGUGGAAUAUUAGAGGACACAUUAUCCGUCAUGUAUAGCUUAUUGUAUGUGAGUUUAUACCUGAAUAAUUAUAGAUGCAAAUGGAAUCAAAAUUGGUAUUUUCAAGUGUGAACGUGUUAAAAUCUCCACUGUAACAGAAUGGUAAUGAUGUUCUAUCUAAGCAUAUGGCUCAAAGAAAAACAAAAAGUGCAAUCAUCAAGCAGAAAGUAUAUUUAUGGCCAGGCACGGUGGCUCAUGCCUGUAAUCCCAACACAUUGGGAGGCCAAGGUGGGCAGAUCACCUGAGGUCAGGAGUUCAAGACCAGCCUAGACAACAUGGUGAAACCCCAUCUCUACUAAAAAUACAAAAAUUAGCUGGGUGUGGUGGCAGGCACCUGUAAUCUCAGCUACUUAGGAGGCUGAGGCAGAAGAAUCACUUGAACCCAGGAGGCGGAGGUUGCAGUGAGCCGAGAUCAUACCAUUGCACUCCAGCCUGGGCAACAGAGUGAGACUCUGAAAAAAAAAAAGAAAGAAAAGAAAAAAAGAAGGAAGGAAGGAAGGAAGGAGGGAAGGAGGGAGGGAGGGAGAGAGGGAAGGAAGGAAGGAAGGAAGAAAGGAAGGAAGGAAGGAAAGAAGGAAGGAAGAGAAAUACAUCUAUAUAUAACUCAUUUCACACAAUAAAAUACACAUAAAAAUAAAAUCUUAAGAAGUUUAUUGGUGUCAAUAAAGCAGACAAAACGUACUUAUCAUUACCAUAAUUGUUUUCAACACAAUAUUGUUUUCUGUGUCAUAAAGAACCAUAGUCAUGUACCAUUUUUUUAAAAAGAGUGCCUCUCUAUGUCUCCAAUAUUUUCUUCAUAGCUUCUGAUGCUGAUUAUUCAGAGAUUUUUGAUACUGAUUUCUUGAUCUGUAAAAGUCUCAUAGACUUUUUUUUAAAAACAGGAUUAGAAAAAUUGUGGGGGACAAAAACAGGAUCAGAGGAUUUCCAUUCCAUCCUGUGAUGGUGUCUAAAUGAUGUGAUGAGCAAAACAUGCAGGACCAACAAUGUACAUAACUUCACUGAAGUAGUGACAUUAGCACCAGUGACAAUCACGGUCAGGCAUAUGCACAUUGCAACUGUCUCCUGGCCAACAGUGAUUGUAAGACUUCAUAUAUUUUGAGAGGCAUGCUAAUUUCAGAGACAUUAAAAUGUAAAAAAACAAUAUGUAUUAGUGCUAUAGGGACAUCCCCAAGACUAGGUAAUUUAUAAAGGAAAGAGGUUUAAUUGACUCAGAGCUCUGCAUGGCUGGAGAGGCCUCAAUCAUGGCAGAAGGGGAAGCAAACACGUCCCUCUUCGCUGGGUGGCCAGGACAGAAAUGCCAAGUAGAGGGAGAAAAGCCACUUAUAAAACCAUCAGAUGUUAUGAGAAUCACUCACUAUCAUGAGAAUUGCAUGGGUGUAACUGCUCCCAUGAUUCAAUUACCUUCCCACUCAGUCCCUCCCAUGACUCGUGGGGACUAGAGGAACUUCAAUUCAAGAUGAGAUUUGCUUGGGGACAGAGCCAAACUAUACCACAAUGUAUCUUAGACUCACUGAAUUAAAGAAAAAAAAAUAUGAAAGUGAAGCAAACUCUAUUAUAAAAAUGAAUAAGUCUUAAAAACAUGCACAAAAUACUGUAUCAAGCCUAAGAUUGAAAGGUAUUAAAUUUUCUAAAAAUGUUAUACAGAACUUAGCACAUCUACUUACACAAAAAGUGUAAGUAUAUAAAAAUUUAAUACAUCUACUUGGAUAAGAUGUUUGAAAAAAUGAAUUAUAAAUGUUAACCAACUAAUUAAAUCACAUUCCAAUAAAUUGUUCUCAGGACUUAGAUGAUAUUAGAAAUAUAAAAACUCAGACAGUAUGAUAAAGGCUAAACAAAUUACAAAUGUAAUUGAUGUUAGCUCAGUAGAAGUAUGUGGACAAUGCAGCAUCAUGGAAAAUAUUAUUGAUAUAAAUAGAAAUUCCCCCCUGAGGUCAGGAGUUCAAGACCAGUCUGGCCAACAUGGUGAAACCCCAUUUCUACUAAAAAUACAAAAAUAGGUCAGGCGUGGUGGUGCAGGCCCGUAAUCCAAGCUACUCGAGAGGCUAAGGCAGGAGAAUCACUUGAACCCAGGAGGCGGAGGUUGCAGUGAGCCGAAAUCGUGCCACGGCACUCCAGACUGGGAAACAGAGCAAGACUCUAUCAAAGGAAAGAAAGAAAGAAAGAGAGAAAGAGAGAGAGAGAAAGAGAUAAAAGAAAUUCCCUACUCCUUCAGACUAAGAAAUAUCUGCUGAUUCUCCAUUUAAUGGGACUAUGAAGAAAGACUUCAAUGUGGUUCCUUAUUUGAAUUCAGUCCAACAGAUGUGAAAUAUCUAAACACAGCCAAAACAAAUGAAAACAUCUCACAUCAACAAUCCUAAAAAAUAAAAAUUAUUUGCACAUUAUAGGAAUGAUUUGAUAAAUGACAUGUUGUUCAAUAUUCCAUUUGGUCAAUAGUUUUUUGGUAUAUCAUUACAGAAUAAAAUAGAAUAUGCAUUUUAAUUUUAUCCACAGAAUAAUAUUGUAUGCUAACAUAUAUUGCUAUACACCGUAGUGUAAAUUCAAAUUUUGUAGAUAUGUCGAAGAGUUUUCUCAGCCAAUUCACAAAUCAUGUUUCCUACACGAUCUCGUGAAGCAAUCGCUCUGUUGAAGCAAGAGGAUAAUUCUGAACUGCAUAAGAGCCUGUUAUACGCACUUCAACUAUAUCAUUUAUUACAUUGCACUGUCAUUGAUGUUUAUUAGUAUGUCCAAUGGAGUUCCUUAAAAAAUGCAGUAUAUAUUCAUAAUUUUAAUACCAUGUAAUUUUAUGUUUACUAGUAUAUAAUAAAGAUAAAAUGUGUAUAUAUGGAAUGAAAAAAAUCCCCACAAUUUCUACAUUCAGACUGUAGUGACAAAUUUGCACUUAUCUCUUUCCAGUCAGAGGUUUCUACACACAGAGAACCAAGAAAGGAGGGAGCAAUAUACAAUUAAGUAGGACAACUUAAUAUAAAUUCAACUUUACAUAAAUCCUAGGGAAAUUAUAAAAUUUGCCCUCUCAAUGAAAAUGCUGUCAUGAGAUGAAAUGCACUAUAUUUUAAAAUAUCAUAACAUUUCAAACAAACAAACAAAUGCUUCUUUUUAAAGUAAAUUGGCCAGGCGUGGUAGCUCACAUCUGUAAUCCCAGCACAUUGGGAGGCUGAGGCAGGAGGAUCACUUGAGUCUGGAGUCCGAGGUUACAGUAAGCUGUGAUAAUGCCACUGCACUUCAACCUGGUUGACAGAGUAAGACUUUUCCUCCAAAAUAGAAUAAAAUAAAUGUUUCUUAAGGGAAAGAAAACAUGGAAAGAGAGAAACUAUAAUAGGAAAUAAAGUACACAUUGAAAGCAUGGCAACACUUCCAAAAGUACUUUGACUGUCGUGGAAGUUGGCAUGUUUAAUUUAAUCAUACAUCAUGAUCUGCAUUUUGGCUCAGUGAGGACAGGUAGACAGUACACAGAAAGACAAAUACAUUUACAGAAAGUAAUGAUUAAAUAAUCAAUAUACAUUAGUAUGUCCAGGUGUAUUUAAAUAGCUAAAUUCAAACAGAGAGUUAAAAAUUACUGGAAAAUUGAGGUAAAAAUAAACCAGAUUUUCAUGUAUUUAUAUAUAAGUGUAUAUAUACACAGUAUUUAUAUAUAUACUGACUACUGUAUAUAUAUACACUGUGUGUGUAUAUAUAUGUGUGUGUGUAUAUAUGUCCAUUUCAG
Macaca nemestrina (pig-tailed macaque) is the source of this 5288-nucleotide long non-coding RNA. The record is from Ensembl. Lineage: Eukaryota; Metazoa; Chordata; Mammalia; Primates; Cercopithecidae.